GUACACAAAAAUGCACAUGCUGUGAGCUCGAUGAGUAGGGCGGGACACGUGGUAUCCUGUCUGAAUAUGGGGGGACCAUCCUCCAAGGCUAAAUACUCCUGACUGACCGAUAGUGAACCAGUACCGUGAGGGAAAGGCGAAAAGAACCCCGGCGAGGGGAGUGAAAAAGAACCUGAAACCGUGUACGUACAAGCAGUGGGAGCACAGAGCAAUCUGUGUGACUGCGUACCUUUUGUAUAAUGGGUCAGCGACUUAUAUUCUGUAGCAAGGUUAACCGAAUAGGGGAGCCGAAGGGAAACCGAGUCUUAACUGGGCGUUAAGUUGCAGGGUAUAGACCCGAAACCCGGUGAUCUAGCCAUGGGCAGGUUGAAGGUUGGGUAACACUAACUGGAGGACCGAACCGACUAAUGUUGAAAAAUUAGCGGAUGACUUGUGGCUGGGGGUGAAAGGCCAAUCAAACCGGGAGAUAGCUGGUUCUCCCCGAAAGCUAUUUAGGUAGCGCCUCGUGAAUUCAUCUCCGGGGGUAGAGCACUGUUUCGGCAAGGGGGUCAUCCCGACUUACCAACCCGAUGCAAACUGCGAAUACCGGAGAAUGUUAUCACGGGAGACACACGGCGGGUGCUAACGUCCGUCGUGAAGAGGGAAACAACCCAGACCGCCAGCUAAGGUCCCAAAGUCAUGGUUAAGUGGGAAACGAUGUGGGAAGGCCCAGACAGCCAGGAUGUUGGCUUAGAAGCAGCCAUCAUUUAAAGAAAGCGUAAUAGCUCACUGGUCGAGUCGGCCUGCGCGGAAGAUGUAACGGGGCUAAACCAUGCACCGAAGCUGCGGCAGCGACACUGUGUGUUGUUGGGUAGGGGAGCGU
This 862-nucleotide ribosomal RNA is filed under the name Escherichia coli. RNAcentral's name for it is "partial 23S ribosomal RNA". It matches the Rfam family "Bacterial large subunit ribosomal RNA", at positions 375 to 1239 of the family's 2925-position model. Lineage: Bacteria; Pseudomonadati; Pseudomonadota; Gammaproteobacteria; Enterobacterales; Enterobacteriaceae. The record is from RNAcentral.